GAUGAACGCUGACAGAAUGCUUAACACAUGCAAGUCGAUGGGGAAGUGGUGCUUGCACCAUGGCAACCAUGGCGGACGGGUGAGUAACGCGUAAGGGACUUACCUGCAGGACUGGGAUAACAGGGGGAAACUCCUGACAAGACCGGAUAAUGUCAUGGAGCUGCAUGGCUUUAUGAUGAAAGGAGACGCCUGCGGAGAGCCUUGCGUCCUAUUAGCUAGUUGGUGAGGUAAUGGCUCACCAAGGCGAAGAUAGGUAGCCGGCCUGAGAGGAUGGACGGCCACAAGGGGACUGAGAUACGGCCCUUACGCCUACGGGAGGCAGCAGUGGGGAAUAUUGGACAAUUGGGGCAACCCUGAUCCAGCAAUUCUGUGUGCACGAAGAAGGUUUUCGGAUUGUAAAGUGCUUUCAGAAGAGAAGAAGUAAGUGACGGUACCUGCAGAAGAAGCGACGGCUAAAUACGUG
This 463-nucleotide ribosomal RNA is filed under the name uncultured bacterium. RNAcentral describes it as "partial 16S ribosomal RNA". It matches the Rfam family "Bacterial small subunit ribosomal RNA", at positions 28 to 507 of the family's 1533-position model. The record is from RNAcentral.